CUGUUGUCACUAGAUAUUAGCACCAUGAUCAAUCCCCAGUGACAGGGUCUGCUUAGCCUGUCACAAGUUAUUUCAUUUUCGAUCUUCAGGAUUCUGCUAACUCACAAAUUGCUAAUCUAAUUUCUGGAUAACCAACUUAGGAGAGGAGAAACCCACAUAUUAAGGAGUUGUUCAGAGGCAGGCUCUGGGUCGCCAGCAGAGCCCAGAAGAUGCAGACGGAGGGCUGUCUCUUAAUAGUUCCCCACUUUUCCUCUUCCAUUUUGAGCCCCACUCCAACCCAGUAGCCAGUAAAGAUGUAACCUCCUAGAAGGGUCUGUGUGAGAAGCGGUGUCUCCUCUUUAUGGCUUGUUCUAAUGCGCAGAUGUUUGCUGGUAAUACAAAGGCAAUCUAAAUAGCGAGUCUAAAUGUGAUGUCACUUUUUUUUUGAAGGAAAUCCAUAUUUUAUAGACCAAAAUAAAGGCUCAUGUCUGCCUCCAGCAUUACGUAGAUCAAGUACCACACAAGUCCAUCAAUGCAGCAGCUGCCCUAUCCUUGAUAUGUGUACUGGGGACAAGAAAGGAUAUUUUUUGAAAAGGUAGGUUUUGGGCAGUGAAUGACAGCUGGGUUACAAAUCCCUCAAUUCACAAA
This 627-nucleotide long non-coding RNA is filed under the name Pogona vitticeps (central bearded dragon). Its description in RNAcentral is "lncRNA (ENSPVIG00000014986.1)". Lineage: Eukaryota; Metazoa; Chordata; Lepidosauria; Squamata; Agamidae. The record is from RNAcentral.